CCUACGGGUGACAGCAGUGGGGAAUAUUGCACAAUGGGGGAAACCCUGAUGCAGCGACGCCGCGUGAGUGAAGAAGUAUUUCGGUAUGUAAAGUUCUAUCAGCAGGGAAGAAAAUGACGGUACCUGAGUAAGAAGCCCCGGCUAACUACGUGCCAGCAGCCGCGGUAAUACGUAGGGGGCAAGCGUUAUCCGGAUUUACUGGGUGUAAAGGGAGCGUAGACGGCAGUGCAAGUCGGGAGUGAAAGGCGCGGGCUCAACCAGGGGACUGCUCUUGAAACUGUACGGCUGGAGUGCAGGAGAGGUAAGUGGAAUUCCUAGUGUAGCGGUGAAAUGCGUAGAGAUUAGGAGGAACACCAGUGGCGAAGGCGGCUUACUGGACUGUAACUGACGUUGAGGCUCGAAAGCGUGGGGAGCAAACAGGAUUAGAUACCCGUGUAGUC
Molecule: ribosomal RNA, 440 nt
Filed under: uncultured bacterium
Lineage: Bacteria
Description: partial 16S ribosomal RNA
Rfam family: Bacterial small subunit ribosomal RNA
Source: RNAcentral